RNAcentral lists this ribosomal RNA (253 nucleotides) under uncultured bacterium. RNAcentral describes it as "partial 16S ribosomal RNA". It matches the Rfam family "Bacterial small subunit ribosomal RNA", at positions 524 to 776 of the family's 1533-position model. The record is from RNAcentral.
UACGUAGGGUGCAAGCGUUACUCGGAAUUAUUGGGCGUAAAGCGGAUGUAGGCGGCUUCGUAAGUCUGAUGUGAAAUCCCUGGACUCAAUUCAGGAACUGCAUUGGAUACUGCGAGGCUAGAGUAGAGGAGGGGUAGGCGGAAUUCCUGGUGUAGAGGUGAAAUUCGUAGAUAUCAGGAGGAACAACAGUGGCGAAGGCGGCUUACUGGACUCUAACUGACGCUGAGAUCCGAAAGUGUGGGGAGCAAACAGG